Molecule: transfer RNA, 67 nt
Filed under: Marmota monax (woodchuck)
Lineage: Eukaryota; Metazoa; Chordata; Mammalia; Rodentia; Sciuridae
Description: tRNA.Val
Source: RNAcentral
GGUUAUAGCUCAGUGGUAGAUCAUUUGCUUCACAUGCAUGAGGCACUGGGUUCAAUCCUCAGCACCA